This 500-nucleotide ribosomal RNA is filed under the name uncultured bacterium. RNAcentral describes it as "partial 16S ribosomal RNA". It matches the Rfam family "Bacterial small subunit ribosomal RNA", at positions 28 to 507 of the family's 1533-position model. The record is from RNAcentral.
GACGAACGCUGGCGGCGUGCUUAACACAUGCAAGUCGAACGGGUCUGCCCUGUUUUUUGCGGGGUGGGUCAGUGGCGAACGGGUGAGUAACACGUGAGUAACCUGCCCCUCACUUCUGGAUAACCGCUUGAAAGGGUGGCUAAUACGGGGUGUUCUGGCUGUGCCGCAUGGUGUGGCUGGGAAAGAUUCACUUUUGUGGUGUUGUGGUGGGGGAUGGGCUCGCGGCCUAUCAGCUUGUUGGGGGGGUGAUGGCCUGCCAAGGCUUUGAGGGGUAGCCGGACUGGGAGGGUGGGCGGUCACACUGGGACUGAGAUACGGCCCAGACUCCUGGGGGAGGCAGCAGUGGGGGGUAUUGAACAGUGGGAGGAAGCCUGCUGCAGCGACGUCGCGUGAGGGAUGGAGGCCUGCGGGUUGUGAACCUCUUUCGCCGGUGAAGAAGGUCCUGCUCUUUGUGGUGGGGUUGACGGUAGCCGGGUUAUGAAGCGCCGGCUAACUACGUG